This 70-nucleotide transfer RNA is filed under the name Dipodomys ordii (Ord's kangaroo rat). It matches the Rfam family "tRNA". From Rfam's summary of the family: Transfer RNA (tRNA) molecules are approximately 80 nucleotides in length. Their secondary structure includes four short double-helical elements and three loops (D, anti-codon, and T loops). Lineage: Eukaryota; Metazoa; Chordata; Mammalia; Rodentia; Heteromyidae. The record is from Rfam by way of RNAcentral.
GGGAAGGUGGCUCAGUGGUAGAGCGCUUGCCUCGCAUGCAGGAGACCCUGGGUUCAAUUCCUCAGUGCCA